This is a long non-coding RNA of Ictalurus furcatus (blue catfish), 3240 nucleotides long. RefSeq lists it as uncharacterized. Lineage: Eukaryota; Metazoa; Chordata; Actinopteri; Siluriformes; Ictaluridae. The transcript has 2 exons. The record is from RefSeq and is a predicted model, not a curated record.
UUGAUAACGUUUUUUUUUUUUUUGUCAGUUCUAACUCCUUCACAGGGACUUGUAUGGUGGAGGGUCCACACGAGGAGACGUCUCAGGAGACGAGUCGAGAGCGUCGGCACUUUCUAUCACUCAGAGGCCGGAGAAAGGAAAAACCAGGAGUAAACGGCAGGCCACAGGGCAGACGGUCGCCACGCAAUCCGGGAACGAGCACAAAUCAAUUUCGGUAUCGCGCUUCCCCAGGGCGUGCCACUUCAUCGGAUCAGGUGAGGAUUAAAGCGCAUGGCAGAUGAAGCGAACGCGUCGAGGUUAAUAUGUUUCUAUUCGGUAUGCUUUAUGAAGUGAUGUUCAAAGAUAGUAGAGGAUGAAAAACUUUAAUAGUGCUGAAAGGCACUCCUGAUUAUGGAGCAGAUUAUAGCUUGAUCAGGGAUUUGACUCGGAUUAUCCGGGAUCUAUUCAAUACCAAUAAUUUGAUGUUUACAAAGAUUUUAACAGUGAUUUUUUUUCUUCUUCUAAUGUUUGCCAGAUAUACUGAUGUUUGAUAAAGGAGAACCUGGGUUGUGUUUCAUGCACCGAACUGUAACACAGGGCCAUCGGACAAGCAAGAUUUUUAAGAUACGUAACACGUUUACCAAGGUCCGGUGUUUCUUGUAUGUUUAUUCAGUUUACUUUACGUACGUUUGAGUUUAAUUAAAAUUUUUGCUGCGGCCAUCGUGAUUUCACAGAGACGCUUCAGUUUUCAAGUGUAUCGUGUUUAAAGUCUUAAACCUAAACGCGACCGCAGCCGUCAGGAUCGUAGUUAAGCGUUCGAGCGCCGUCCGAAAGGCAGUAACGAGAAAUCGACGCCCGUUUCCUCGUGAAAAGUCGGCAGUACCUUCAGCUUCUCCGAGAACUCGUCGUAGGCCCAGUGAGAAGAGGAGCGGUCGGUCGAAUUGGGCCGUGCUUGAACAGCAGCUGAGGAGAGCACUUAGUAACACACGCACACACACGCAUUUAAAGUGCCUUUGGGUUCAGACCUGAUGAAACAAAACGCUUGUUUUCCAUUCGGUGCAUCCUGUGUACUCGUCGCUACGCCUCAGGUGUUCCGAAAAAUACAAAUACACACGCGGAUGUUCUGGAUGUUAAGUAUGAAACAUACCUAUAAGCAGGGAAAGCAGUUUCAUUGCUACAGCAGUGGUAGUUUUUCCAGAAAAAUACGUCCUAGCUCUCUUUGUUUGUUGUUUACUGUUUGCUUUUUUUCCUCUCAUGUGUGUUUGCUUUUUCAGGGUCACGCAGCACGUCGUUUAUGUACUUUCCCAGAUUACGAAACUUUUUACUGGAAACAUGAUUUUGCAACAGUAGUCGCAUGCUAAAGCCUCACGCUGUGAGUGCAGACGUUUUACCUAAUAAUAUCUUGAUGUAUCUUUAAUUUAAGGAUAUCAUUUGUCCUCCCUAGACACAGAACACACCCACGUAUUUUCCUUGCCCAGCAUGCUCAGUGCACGAUUCGUAACUUGGAGAUGAAUCGUUCGCAACCUACGGGCGGAUCUGAGUUCGGAGAAAGCACACCGCGUUCAGCUUGACGGAGUACGUCUGUGACAGCACGUUUUGUGUGUGUGUGCGUGUGUGUGUGUGUGUGUGUGUUUAUGCAUGUGUAGGUGGAUGAAGCUCUUCUAUCUUGGCGCUCAGUCUCACAGUGGCAGGUGGGGAGAAGCUGACUCUGUUGGCAGGUUUUCAUUUUUUUUUCACCUCUCAUUCCCUCUUUCUUUUUUUCUUUUAGUGAAAGAAAUGUACAGCACACUUUUGGGUGUCACCUAAUCAUCCACCAAAGUUCUUCAAAAUAUAUGAUCUAUGCAAAAAUGAUUUCGGCAUGACAGAGCAAAAGGUUCGCUGGGAAUUAUAGUGGAAUGGUUUGGAGUGGUAGCGACGCUUAGAUCAGCCCAGACUGUCAUUAUGCAAAUAGGAAACAUUAGCACUCUUGGUUUAAUCAUUUGAGCACAACAUGUGACUUCAGUAGGUCCAAAAAGGACAGGUUGAGGUUGUUCUCGUUUUGUAAUAUUAUGUUUCAGGCAUUUGCAUGAACACCAAGGAAUCAUCUGUUAUGGAGACAGGAAUUCAAAAUGUCCUCCUUUAUUACGUACAGCAAGAACAAACUGAGCUCGGGGGCACAUUUAUUAGGUAUGCCUAGCUCAUCUCUACCCCCGAGGUCAAGGUCACUGUACCCCAGUGCCCUUGCAUUGCAAGGACAAGAUAUUAUUAAACGAUGUUAUUCAAGUGUCUUUAGUUUCUCUCAACAAGUUUAACCCUGAGGUGAAUGCAUGUUGGGGAAGGACCUAAAGAAGGAAGGGAGGAAAGGAAAGGGAAGAAUGAUGGACGGAAGCAAGGAAAUGAGGAAAUGAAAGAAGGUCGGACAGCAAGGAGGAACGAAAGGAAGGAACAAAAUAAUGAAGGAAGAAAGGAAAGAAAGGAAGACAAAGCAGGAAAGGCAGAUGUAAGGAAAGAAGGGAAGGAAGAAGAAGAAAGGAAAGAAAGAAGGAAACAAUGAAAGACGAGAAGGAAAGGAGGAUAAAGGAAAGGAGCAAGGAAUGAGGAAGGAUGGAAGAAGAAUGAGAGGAAAGAAAGAUCAAAGGAAGAAACAAACGAAGGGGAGAAAGAAGAAGGAAAGAACUGUAGAAGGAUGGGGGAAAGGAGGAAUAAGGAAGGAUGGAAAGAAACAUGAAAGAGGAGGGAGGGAGGGAGGGCGGAAAGAAGGACAGAAACAUAAACGGCAAUAAGGAAGGAAGGACCGAGAAAUGAAAUAAAUAUGGAAGAAAAGGUCAGAAGGGAGGAAGUGAAAAAGGAGAAAAAAGGAUGCAAAGGAAAGAAGAUGGAUGAAAACAUAUCAAGAAAGAACAAAUGAAGGAAGGAAAGAAAUGUGAAAGGGAAGGAAGGAAGGACAGAAACAUGAAAGUAAAUAAGGAAGGAAAAGUAAGGUAAGAAAGGAGGAAGCAAUGAAAGACAAGCGAAGGAAAGGAGGGCAGUGGAAAGAAACAAGGAAUGAGGAAGGAUGGAAGAAGAAUGAGAGGAAAGAAAGAUCAAAGGAACAAACAAAUAAGGAGAAAAAGAAGAAGGAAAGGACUAAAAGGAAGGGAGAAAGGAAUAAGGAAGGAUGGAAAGAAACAUGAAAGAGAAGGGAGGAAAGAAGGACAAACAAACGGCAAUAAGGAAGAACAGAGAAAUGAAAAGAAAUAUGGAAGAAAAGGUAAGAAGGGAGGAAAAAAGAAUGCAAAGGAA